RNAcentral lists this ribosomal RNA (521 nucleotides) under uncultured bacterium. RNAcentral describes it as "bacterial SSU rRNA". It matches the Rfam family "Bacterial small subunit ribosomal RNA", at positions 120 to 674 of the family's 1533-position model. The record is from RNAcentral.
GGGAACGUGCCUUUAGGUUCGGAAUAGCUCCUGGAAACGGGUGGUAAUGCCGAAUGUGCCCUUCGGGGGAAAGAUUUAUCGCCUUUAGAGCGGCCCGCGUCUGAUUAGCUAGUUGGUUGAGGUAACGGCUCACCAAGGCGACGAUCAGUAGCUGGUCUGAGAGGAUGGCCAGCCACAUUGGGACUGAGACACGGCCCAAACUCCUACGGGAGGCAGCAGUGGGGAAUCUUGCGCAAUGGGCGAAAGCCUGACGCAGCCAUGCCGCGUGAAUGAUGAAGGUCUUAGGAUUGUAAAAUUCUUUCACCGGGGACGAUAAUGACGGUACCCGGAGAAGAAGCCCCGGCUAACUUCGUGCCAGCAGCCGCGGUAAUACGAAGGGGGCUAGCGUUGCUCGGAAUUACUGGGCGUAAAGCGCACGUAGGCGGAUUGUUAAGUGAGGGGUGAAAUCCCAGGGCUCAACUCUGGAACUGCCUUUGAUACUGGGUGUCUUGAGUGUGAGAGAGGUAUGUGGAACUCCGAGU